CUGAGUGGGAGCAGCUGCCUGUGCGCAGGCUCCUGGCCCACCCCAAGUGCAAAGGAAGCUGCGUUUGCUGAGGCCACCAUCUGUGCUGCUAGCAGAGCUAGCCAGCUUGCGUGAUAUCUCAGAUUUGGAUCAAGGGGAAAAGGAUGACUUUGCUAAGUAGCAGGAAGAUUUUGUAGGCUGGAAUUGGCCCCGGGGAACAAUUACAAACCUUCUGAGCAUGAUGUGGUGUAACGCUCAGCAACGUGGAGGCAAGGGCUGGUGGGAGAGCAGAUAUAAAUGAAUACGAAGGAAGUGCUUCAUCUUUUCUAGGAGCUCAACCUGAGCAGCUUCCAGCUGAAUGUGAGAGAGAGGACUUACACCUGGCUCAGUUUUGCUCAUUUGUUGUCAGAAGCAGCCUCUUGCUUCAGUUCAAGAUAAUUGGCUGCAGCAAGCACCUGAAAGUUGCCCAUUUGGAAUAUAAGAGCUGCAGGAAUUAGGAACUGUUACUGCUUUUUCGGAUCCUUCUCUCUAGAGGAACUGGUGGAGGCAGCAGAGAAAAUGAGAGCGGUGGCAGUAGG
RNAcentral lists this long non-coding RNA (557 nucleotides) under Struthio camelus australis. RNAcentral's name for it is "lncRNA (ENSSCUG00000013951.1)". Lineage: Eukaryota; Metazoa; Chordata; Aves; Struthioniformes; Struthionidae. The record is from RNAcentral.